AUUGGACGCUGGCGGAAUGCUUUACACAUGCAAGUCGAACGGCAGCACGGACUUCGGUCUGGUGGCGAGUGGCGAACGGGUGAGUAAUGUAUCGGAACGUGCCCAGUCGUGGGGGAUAACGUAGUGAAAAUUACGCUAAUACCGCAUACGAUCUAUGGAUGAAAGCGGGGGAUCGCAAGACCUCGCGCGAUUGGAGCGGCCGAUAUCAGAUUAGGUAGUUGGUGGGGUAAAGGCCCACCAAGCCAACGAUCUGUAGCUGGUCUGAGAGGACGACCAGCCACACUGGAACGGGGACACGGUCCAGACUCCUACGGGAGGCAGCAGUGGGGAAUUUUGGACAAUGGGCGAAAGCCUGAUCCAGCCAUUCCGCGUGCAGGAUGAAGGCCCUCGGGUUGUAAACUGCUUUUGUACAGAACGAAAAGGUUUCUACUAAUACUAGGAGCUCAUGACGGUACUGUAAGAAUAAGCACCGGCUAACUACGUGCCAGCAGCCGCCGUAA
RNAcentral lists this ribosomal RNA (500 nucleotides) under uncultured bacterium. RNAcentral's name for it is "partial 16S ribosomal RNA". It matches the Rfam family "Bacterial small subunit ribosomal RNA", at positions 30 to 523 of the family's 1533-position model. The record is from RNAcentral.